GAUAUUAAAUAGUUCUUCACGAAGGAAAUCGAGCUAACUAAUAAAGUAUAUUAGUACUUAAUUUAUGUGUUGCAGCACAUUUCGUAUAUUAUUAGUUAGGGGUGAGAGGCUUCUCAAGAUUUCCGAUAUCUUGAUUUUUAGGAAGUAUAUUUAGUAUAAACUCAGUUUGAAAGUGCUAAGGCUCUCAAAGUGUAUUAAGGCAAGUUAGCAUAUAAGUAAAAUAUUUAACGAUAGUUACAUUAUUUUAAAAAUUAUUAAGUAUUGAAUAAUUAUACAGUCUACUAAAAUGUUCUCCAUAAUCAAUCAGUGUAAUAUUACUGUUGAUAUUAGUAUUAUAGUAUAACUUGCAUAGGAACUCGGCAAAAGGCCCCUUAACUGUUUAUCAAAAACAUAGCUGGAUGAAAUUCAUAUUUGGUUAUUUCUGCUCAAUGGUAAACUAAAUAGCCGCAGUACCCUGACUGUGCAAAGGUAGCAUAAUCAUUUGGCUUAUAAUUGAAGUCUGGUAUGAAGGAAAACUUGGGGGGCAGCUGUCUUUUAGGGUUUAAUAGAAAUUACUUAGUAAGUGAAAAUACUUACAAAUAAAUAAUAGACGAGAAGACCCUAGAAAUUUAAUAUAGCGGUGUAUUCAUACACUUGUUAUUUUGUUGGGGCGACAGAAUAACAGUGAACUUGUUUUAUAUAAUUAGAACUUAAUGUUGAGUAAAAAUAAAUUACUCUAGGGAUAACAGCAUAAUGUAUAAAAGUUUGUGACCUCGAUGUUGGACUAGGGAUCUUGAUACUUAGAAGGUGUUAAGACAAGCUCUGUUCGAGCUAUAAUCCCUACAUGAUCUGAGUUCAGACCGGC
Molecule: ribosomal RNA, 844 nt
Filed under: Zarateana rocandioi
Lineage: Eukaryota; Metazoa; Mollusca; Gastropoda; Stylommatophora; Geomitridae
Description: partial 16S ribosomal RNA
Source: RNAcentral